CGUGAAAAUGUAUGGUAGCAAACGGAGCUUCCCUCGAAGUUUUCCCCCUGGACCCAGCCUUAGGUCUCGGGCAGCCCUGGUUGUCGGAUCAGCAAUGACCGGCCUCUGGGAGCCUGCUCGGUCCGCGGGUGCAUCUUCAGGGGGUUUAACGACGGGAACUGUUGGACUUGGACCGAAGGCCUGGGAUGAAGUUUUCGCUCCGGCGUCAGCUCCCGGUGUCCUGGCUCUGAGGCCCGACAGGCGUGUGGCCGACUUGUACAGCAAGCAACCCUUACUGUUGCGGUCGGCCUUUCCCCGUCGAGUAGGUCGGUGGAAGCUCUGACCCGUCUUGAAACACGGA
RNAcentral lists this ribosomal RNA (340 nucleotides) under Centropages bradyi. RNAcentral's name for it is "partial 28S ribosomal RNA". Lineage: Eukaryota; Metazoa; Arthropoda; Copepoda; Calanoida; Centropagidae. The record is from RNAcentral.